RNAcentral lists this ribosomal RNA (465 nucleotides) under Vreelandella stevensii. RNAcentral's name for it is "partial 16S ribosomal RNA". It matches the Rfam family "Bacterial small subunit ribosomal RNA", at positions 338 to 795 of the family's 1533-position model. Lineage: Bacteria; Pseudomonadati; Pseudomonadota; Gammaproteobacteria; Oceanospirillales; Halomonadaceae. The record is from RNAcentral.
CCUAGGGGGUGCAGCAGUGGGGAAUAUUGGACAAUGGGCGAAAGCCUGAUCCAGCCAUGCCGCGUGUGUGAAGAAGGCCUUCGGGUUGUAAAGCACUUUCAGUGGGGAAGAAAGCCUUGGGGCUAAUACCCUCGAGGAAGGACAUCACCCACAGAAGAAGCACCGGCUAACUCCGUGCCAGCAGCCGCGGUAAUACGGAGGGUGCGAGCGUUAAUCGGAAUUACUGGGCGUAAAGCGCGCGUAGGCGGUCUGAUAAGCCGGUUGUGAAAGCCCCGGGCUCAACCUGGGAACGGCAUCCGGAACUGUCAGGCUAGAGUGCAGGAGAGGAAGGUAGAAUUCCCGGUGUAGCGGUGAAAUGCGUAGAGAUCGGGAGGAAUACCAGUGGCGAAGGCGGCCUUCUGGACUGACACUGACGCUGAGGUGCGAAAGCGUGGGUAGCAAACAGGAUUAGAUACCCGAGUAGUC